Non-coding RNA from Drosophila melanogaster (fruit fly), 401 nucleotides. The record is from Ensembl. NCBI's taxonomy places the organism in Eukaryota, Metazoa, Arthropoda, Insecta, Diptera, Drosophilidae.
GCCAGAGCUGAAUUGAAAGCCUGGAUAACCUUGCGGACAAUGUCAAUAGAUAUGUUGGCCUGGCCCAAUUGCUGUUCCCACUGAUGCAACAGGUUGAGGGUGAUCUUUUGGAUACCUCCAGCUGCCGCAUCGUCCUCUUCGUCGACCUCAAAGUCACUCUCAUCGCUAGCCACCUCCAAAUCCUUGCUGGGUUUGUGGUACUUCUCUUCGUCAUCCUCGUCAUCCUUACUUUCCUUAGUUACCGUAUCUUCCUUGUCUUCCUCAUCCCCCUCUUCAUCAUCAUCAUCAUCUGUGUCCAGUAAAUUAAAGUCCAGUAGCUUCUUAUCAUUAUUUUUUAAGAAAUCAUAAAAUUCUGGGUCUAUAUCUUUAAGCCCUUCAAGCUCCUCUUUGUGGGAUUUCUU